RNAcentral lists this ribosomal RNA (484 nucleotides) under uncultured bacterium. RNAcentral describes it as "partial 16S ribosomal RNA". It matches the Rfam family "Bacterial small subunit ribosomal RNA", at positions 28 to 523 of the family's 1533-position model. The record is from RNAcentral.
GACGAACGCUGGCGGCGUGCUUAACACAUGCAAGUUGAACGAUGAAGCCGGAGCUUGCUCUGGUGAAUUAGUGGCGAACGGGUGAGUAACACGUGAGUAACCUGCCCUUGACUCUGGGAUAACUGCGGGAAACUGUAGCUAAUACCGGAUACGACCCUCGGAGGCAUCUCCUGGGGGUGGAAAGAAUUUCGGUCACGGAGGGACUCGCGGCCUAUCAGCUAGGUGGGGAGGUAAAGGCUCACCAAGGCGACGACGGGUAGCCGGCCUGAGAGGGUGACCGGCCACACUGGGACUGAGACACGGCCCAGACUCCUACGGGAGGCAGCAGUGGGGAAUAUUGCACAAUGGGCGCAAGCCUGAUGCAGCAACGCCGCGUGAGGGAUGACGGCCUUCGGGUUGUAAACCUCUUUUAGCAGGGAAGAAGCGAAAGUGACGGUACCUGCAGAAAAAGCACCGGCUAACUACGUGCCAGCCGCCGCCGUAA